Molecule: long non-coding RNA, 804 nt
Organism: Spinacia oleracea (spinach)
Lineage: Eukaryota; Viridiplantae; Streptophyta; Magnoliopsida; Caryophyllales; Amaranthaceae
Exons: 2
Source: RefSeq, a predicted model, not a curated record
UCAAAUUUUCUCUUCCCAUAAUAAUGUGAAUAUAAUUAGAAUAAUUUGAGAGAAGUACACAAUAUACACAAGUGUACUAUUUAACUCCAAAGAUGACUAGUGUGCUAAAGUGGACCAACAUGACCCGGAUAUUCCACCUUUUGCUACCGUAUUAAAACAAAAUUAGGAAGAUUAGCUGGUAAACUAUUCAUCCAAGUUGAUUAUAUUUUGCCUAUAUUUGACCAGAAAAUCAAUCAAACAUUUCAAUUGGAAGAUAAUCACGUGUGCCACGCUAUUCUUGCAUAAUAACCAUUCCCCCAAUAUCUUCCUGAUAUCCCUCUCCUUCUCCUUCUCCCUCUCCCCCCUCUCUCUAUCUGUUCUUCAUUCCCAUUGACCUUACCUGACUACAGGUGGAAAUUAUAUGGCUGAGAAGAUGCCUGUGAAGGAUAGUGUUAGAGAUGCGACCAGGGAAUCACUCAUAGCUUUAUCAUACUCGUCACCUGAAAUGCUCUCAAAUUCACCUAAUAAUUCAAACAAGGUGAAGUAUGUUGGUAAUACAAUAUCUGAAAAGGAUGGUAGCGUGGACUAUUGGUCUGAACUGAUUUCAUUGUCAUACCCAACAUCAGAUGCUGAAUCGCGACCUCAAGCUAAAGCUUAACUGUAAACCUUAAUUGUAUCGAGUUACUCCUAUUACAACACGCUGUUGGUUAAACAAAAGCUGAAUAGUAAUCUCACUUUAAUUGAUGUGAAUCGUGAUAGAAAAUGAAAGUUACCUAUACAUAAUAAUUAAUAAGCAGGGUUACUUUACUGUUUUCUUCAAGGAAA